Molecule: long non-coding RNA, 1686 nt
Filed under: Salmo salar (Atlantic salmon)
Lineage: Eukaryota; Metazoa; Chordata; Actinopteri; Salmoniformes; Salmonidae
Description: lncRNA (ENSSSAG00000096434.1)
Source: RNAcentral
GAGGAGAGGAGAGGAGAGACUGAGCCAGGAGAGGACAGGACAGGAGAGGAGAGACGGAGCCAGGAGAGGACAGGACAGGACAGGACAGGAGAGACUGAACCAGGACAGGACAGGACAGGAGAGGACAAGACAAGACAGGACAGGACAGGAGAGGAGAGACUGAGCCAGGAGAGGACAGGACAGGAGAGGAGAGACUGAGCCAUAGUUUAUUUCCUGCAGGGCUUGGAUAGGGGUCUGCCCACUGGGCGGCAGGUUGCCUAGUGGUUAGAGUGUAGGGACGGCAGGUAGCCUAGCGGUUAGAGUGUAGGGGUGGCAGGUAGCCUAGUGUUUCGAGGUUGGGUGGGCGGCAGGUAGCCUAGUGGUUAGAGUGUGAGGGGGGGCAGGUAGCCUAGUGGUUAGAGUGUAUGGGCAGGUAGCCUAGGGGUUAGAGUGUAGGGGCGGCAGGUAGCCUAGUGGUUAGAGUGUAGGGACGGCAGGUAGCCUAGCGGUUAGAGUGUAGGGGUGGCAGGUAGCCUAGUGUUUAGAGUGUAGGGACGGCGGUUAGCCUAGUGGUUAGAGUGUAGGGGCGGCAGGUAGCCUAGUGGUUAGAGUGUAGGGGCGGCAGGUAGCCUAGUGGUUAGAGUGUAGGGGCUACAGGUAGCCUAGUGGUUAGAGUGUAGGGGCUACAGGUCGUCUAGUGGUUUGAGUGUAGGGGUGGCAGGUAUCCUAGUGGUUAGAGUAUUGGGCCAGUAACGGAAGGUUGCUAGAUCAAAUCCCCGAGCUGACAAGGUAUUUUCGCAGCUCACAUGGGACACUUAAUGCCCUGCCAGGUUGACCCUCCGACUGGACAGCUACCUCAGACACAAUCUUCAAUGCAAGGAAGCUGUAUUUCUGAAUCACUGUGGUCGAGAUGCUUGCCUUUUUUCAUCGUGUGGGCAUCUUCCUAGGGUCCUGCUGCUCCACAUCUGUACUCUCUGAUUUGCCGAAGUACGAAAAGACUCUGCUUCCCUCAUCAGUGGCUCCAUCUCUGUGGAGCGAAGCGGCAGAGACACACUGCUGCAGGGGUUGGAUCAAAGUUUACUGCCAGAGGAGUCGGUACUCCAGUGACUUCAUGAGUACCCGUUUCAACUUGUUUUGCAACAGUAGUUGACUGCAAGUGUGCCUCAAGGUUGAGAAGGCACGGGACCAACAUCCAACAGUGACUGGCUUGUCAGUAUGAAGUUGGUCGGUGGAGAUUUACUUAACGACACCAGCAACUUCACAAGCUGUUCUAGCUUAGCCCGAUUCACGUUGUCCGAUUUCUUCCCUGUUAGCUAAUGUUAGCUAGUGACGCAACACAGCUAGGCAGUUUAUGUUUACUAUAAUAGCAUUGGUGCCUGUGUGUGUGUCAGAACACAGUAUUGCCAAAUAUAUGGAAUCAUUGGUAGCCUGGAGCCAUGUUAAUACUUCAUGGUUCAUCGUUCCUGAAUAAACAGUCGAAGAGGACAUUUGUGUCAUCGUCCUGUCCCUUACUCAUCAUGUCAGAUGAUGACACGUGUUCGUCUGGCUGCUCAUUUUCAGACUUUCAACUGAAUUGUAAGUUAUGAUGGAAAAGGCCCAACUUUAGAUGAUGGCCCCCAUCAUGUCCUCAGGCCACAGGAGAGAUGGAGAGAUGCUGCGUAACCUUGAGAAAGGGAACAAUCUGACAGAAAGACACAAUCUUGGGCU